Molecule: long non-coding RNA, 822 nt
Organism: Cyprinus carpio (common carp)
Lineage: Eukaryota; Metazoa; Chordata; Actinopteri; Cypriniformes; Cyprinidae
Exons: 3
Source: RefSeq, a predicted model, not a curated record
AGGAAAGUCCCGUGAUACAUCUGUGGGAAAUGCACUUCACAAGAGUUUAUCCAUGAGGUUGACUGCAGUGGCCUUCAGAAUGGGCACAGCUUUUUUUUGGAAGGGAUUUACAGUGAACUGCAGGUGUCGUGGCCCUGUGGGCUGUAUGGUACUAUUGUGAGAGGAACAAUGGCACAGAAAGCUUGGGAACCGCUGCUUUGCUUUGUUCUCGGCUAUUGUCUGUUCCCAGGAUGUCCAUCAGGAUAAUGACAAAAAAGGAAGAGAAUUGGCCCAGUAUACCCAAAACAAAAACUGGAGCAGCGAACCCAGAGCUUCAGCAACUAUGAAGCAGAAAUCAGCGGGGUUGAUGAGUUUACUGUGAGUUUUUCCAAACAUUUCCUUCUGUACACUUAAAAAUAAAGGUUCCCGAAGGGAGGUUUUACAGUCAUGUUGUAGAAGAGCCAUUCUGUUUUCCCCAAAGAACCUUUCAGUGAGUAGAUCUUAAAAGAACCAGUUCUUCUUAGUGUUAAGAACACUUUAGAACCAUUUUUUCCACUAUAAAGAACCUUUUAUUUAAUGGAAAGUUUCCAUGGAUGUUAAAGUUUCUUCGUGGAACCAUAAAUGCCAUAACCAUAAAUAAAAAAACCUUCAUUUUCAAAAGUGUAUUGAACUAGGAAUAAAGAUGCUAGCCCAGUCAAUUCAGAGCAUGGAUACUAAGACAUAGUUGCACAGUUGGCCAUAUUAUAAGAUAAAAUUAUGGUAAACCAGUAUAAAUCCUGAAAAUAGACAGGGAGAGGAGUCUAUUGCAGAUGUGAGAUAAAUGCUGUUCCUCUGAACAGAACC